RNAcentral lists this ribosomal RNA (253 nucleotides) under uncultured bacterium. RNAcentral describes it as "partial 16S ribosomal RNA". It matches the Rfam family "Bacterial small subunit ribosomal RNA", at positions 524 to 776 of the family's 1533-position model. The record is from RNAcentral.
UACAGAGGUCUCAAGCGUCGUUCGGAUUCAUUGGGCGUAAAGGGUGCGUAGGCGGCGCGGUAAGUCGGAUGUGAAAUCUCGGGGCUUAACUCCGAAACUGCAUUCGAUACUGCCGUGCUUGAGGACUGGAGAGGAGACUGGAAUUUACGGUGUAGCGGUGAAAUGCGUAGAUAUCGUAAGGAAGACCAGUGGCGAAGGCGGGUCUCUGGACAGUUCCUGACGCUGAGGCACGAAGGCCAGGGGAGCAAACGGG